CAUGGCAUGUAGUUUGUGAGAAGUC
Molecule: non-coding RNA, 25 nt
Filed under: Cricetulus griseus (Chinese hamster)
Lineage: Eukaryota; Metazoa; Chordata; Mammalia; Rodentia; Cricetidae
Source: RNAcentral